CAUUACCGAGUUUACAACUCCCAAACCCCUGUGAACAUACCAAUUGUUGCCUCGGCGGAUCAGCCCGCUCCCGGUAAAACGGGACGGCCCGCCAGAGGACCCCUAAACUCUGUUUCUAUAUGUAACUUCUGAGUAAAACCAUAAAUAAAUCAAAACUUUCAACAACGGAUCUCUUGGUUCUGGCAUCGAUGAAGAACGCAGCAAAAUGCGAUAAGUAAUGUGAAUUGCAGAAUUCAGUGAAUCAUCGAAUCUUUGAACGCACAUUGCGCCCGCCAGUAUUCUGGCGGGCAUGCCUGUUCGAGCGUCAUUUCAACCCUCAAGCCCAGCUUGGUGUUGGGACUCGCGAGUUAAAUCGCGUUCCCCAAAUUGAUUGGCGGUCACGUCGAGCUUCCAUAGCGUAGUAGUAAAACCCUCGUUACUGGUACUCGUCGCGGCCACGCCGUUAAACCCCAACUUCUGAAUGUUGACCUCGGAUCAGGUAGGAAUACCCGCUGAACUUAAGCAUAUCAAUAA
Molecule: ribosomal RNA, 513 nt
Filed under: Fusarium bactridioides
Lineage: Eukaryota; Fungi; Ascomycota; Sordariomycetes; Hypocreales; Nectriaceae
Description: eukaryotic LSU rRNA
Rfam family: 5.8S ribosomal RNA (bases 154-307)
Source: RNAcentral